CAGCAGCCGCGGUAAUUCGAAGGGUGCAAGCGUUGUUCGGAAUUAUUGGGCGUAAAGCGCGCGCAGGCGGGUCAGCAAGUCAGAUGUGAAAUCUCGGGGCUUAACCCCGAAACUGCGUCUGAAACUACUAACCUAGGAUAUCGGAGAGGAAGAUGGAAUUUCGCAUGUAGGGGUAAAAUCCGUAGAGAUGCGAAGGAACACCAGAGGCGAAAGCGAUUUACUGGACGAUUAUUGACGCUGAGGCGCGAAAGCGUGGGGAGCAAACAGGAUUAGAUACCCUGGUAGUCCACGCCGUAAACGAUGAGAACUAGAUUUGGGGGGAGUUUGACCCCUUCUGAAUCGAAGCGAACGCAUUAAGUUCUCCGCCUGGGAAGUACGGUCGCAAGACUAAAACUUAAAGGAAUUGACGG
RNAcentral lists this ribosomal RNA (410 nucleotides) under uncultured bacterium. Its description in RNAcentral is "bacterial SSU rRNA". It matches the Rfam family "Bacterial small subunit ribosomal RNA", at positions 509 to 916 of the family's 1533-position model. The record is from RNAcentral.